Molecule: long non-coding RNA, 1636 nt
Filed under: Phasianus colchicus (ring-necked pheasant)
Lineage: Eukaryota; Metazoa; Chordata; Aves; Galliformes; Phasianidae
Description: lncRNA (ENSPCLG00000018569.1)
Source: RNAcentral
GACGACACGUUGCCAGGGCGACGGCAGCAAUACAGAGCCUGCAGAGUGUAAUCAGGGGUCAGGCUAACGAGGGAGUCGGGAUGUGCGUGGGGGCUGCAGGAAGGGGCAGUGAGCCCCAAUGCUCCCAGCAGCCCACAGCCCGCAAACCAGUACGAGCAAAGGGGAGAACAAGGCACUGCAGCAUCCCUUUGCAACCCCAAGGAGCAAAACUCCUCAUUGUCUGCACAAAGUUGGGGUGCAUAUGCUGCACAUGAGGCUGACCCUGCAAGCAAGGAGAAGGAGCCUGGCCAAACAGCUCAUUGCAUCACACCCUGCCCUUAUACCCAAGAGUUUGAUGGGGGCUUCAGGAACAACAGAAAGGUGUGGAGGAAGGUGAAGAGUGCAAGAAGCAUGACCUCAGAGAAACUCAGCUUUGCAAAUUCAAGUCCAGGCCAGCUUUGGAGGCAUGGCUGCACCCAGCUCUGCACCCCAACCCAGUGGGAAACCCCCCCACCCAGGGGCAGGGGAUGUGCCAUCUCCCAACCCCGAUAUCUUCCAGCCUCUGUUUUCUUCCUGUCCAGUGCUGAUUUCCCUCCCCUAAUUGCCCGGAAAGCUCCUUUCCCUUCCUCUAAUCAGUCUGGAGCAGAUUUUCUCUAGAUAAUUGUUCCAAGACCUGAUCACCCUUCUCAUCACCAGUGUUCCCAUUUCUUCUCUAAACUCACCUGCCAGAGCUGCACUCCUUAAUCUAAUUAUUUCAAGAGUUCUCUAAUUGCUUGUUCUACCAGCACCCAUAUCUGAAAGCACCAGGAGUAUCUGGGGUGGGACCUGGGGCUGAGCUGCAUUCCAAGAAAACAAACCCACUCUGGGAGCCCAGCACUGCCUCUGAAAAGGCAUCUGAAAUGCUUUGGAUGAAGGGUAGCACCCAUAGGUGCUUUACUGCAAUCCAAGGGAUCAUUGCAAGGGCAGCAAUGAACCCUCUUACACUCGGGCUGUGUCUGACCCUUGCUGACACCUGCCUGGAUUGCUGCAGCAAUCGAUGUCCCACAUCCCCGCACCUUUCCGAUGCAGCCAGGACCUCUCCCAUCCCUUCCAUGCACCCUAGCCAACUCCAUCCUCCUCUGGUGACAGGCGGCCCCACUGCUAUCACCCACCCUUAUCCUUUCUCCCAGGCUAAUUGAUCCACUGUUUUGCUUUCUUCUCAAAUUGCUCUCAGCCUCGGAUGCUUCUUUAAUCAAUUCGCAGCCCUAUCGGUCCCAAGAGCCACAGGGGACUUUUCUUUGCAGACACUGCUGUAUAUUUAUUCGCUGGAGGACUUUACCUAAUUGGUGUAGAACCUGAUUUCUUCAUCUUAAUCGCCCUGAGGCCCUGAUUCACUUAUCUAAUCACUCCAAAGCCUGGGCCUUGUGCACCUUUCUGAAGCUCUGGUCCAUCUCCACAGAUCAGUUCUUUGCCCCUGCAGGUGGCUCAGCUCUCUUGACUCCCUAAUCCCUGGGCUGCUUGAUCUCUUGUACUAAUCCAGCCAAGGUUUGGCACCCGCAUUCGUCUGCUCCCCUGACUCAGUGCUGCUAGGGAUCAGCUUCCCUCCUCAUAGAGCUUUCCCCAUUACCUCGUGGCACUGCAGUAGAGCAUGGCCCUGCUGCUCUUUGAGCUCUCUGCC